Molecule: long non-coding RNA, 382 nt
Filed under: Cavia porcellus (domestic guinea pig)
Lineage: Eukaryota; Metazoa; Chordata; Mammalia; Rodentia; Caviidae
Description: lncRNA (ENSCPOG00000032747.1)
Source: RNAcentral
CUGCCCAGGGCCAGCGGGCGGCCGGCCGCAUCCGCCGGCUACGGCGCGCGCCCGCGCCUCACCCCCCAUCCCUUUCCUCCCCGGCUGAAGGCAGGCAGCAAGACACAGGAACACCUACAUCCAGGGCCAGCUGAAGAAGGAGAAAGGAGGAGGUGGGUCUCCAGCCACCCCCACUCUGCACCUCCCAUCUCUCUCUAGGUGGCCAGACAGCCUGGGAGCCCGCACCCCUGGGCUGUUACAGGCACAGGAGGAGCCUGGGUGGCAUCUCGCCCCUUCCCUUUAGGAACUGGAGCGUUGGAGGUUUGUAGUCCCUCACUGGAGCUGUUGCCUGUUUAGGGGGACCUGAGCUGGGGACCCCCAAACUCAAAUCAGAAAAGUUAAG